AUCUAUAUCAUGAAAUCUCUCCCUGUGAAUUAGAUGUUGAUCCCCUAAAAUAUCCGGGUAUACCUAUUUCUAAUGUGAGAACUAGAAACAAACACUCGAAUGGGGGGAUAGAGUAAAUAGAGAAGAGGUGUGGGCGCUGCUAAGGAAAAUUAUUGAAUAUGGCUGGUAGGGUUACUCUGGUUCAGGCAUUCUUGACAAACGUCCUUGUCUUUAUGAUGUCCUUCUAUGCAACUCCUAUCAGGGAGAAAAGAGUUUUUUAUAGGGCUAUGUUUGUGUCGAAGGCUGAAGAAGACCAAAAAAUAAUAUCAUUUGGUGAAAUUGAAAACCUGCUGCCAACCCAAAGACCAGGGGGGUUAUCUAUUUUAAUGUAGAACUUAUGAAUAAAUCUAUCAUGACCAAAUAGAUCUGAAAACUAGAAACUGGAUUUGAGCUAUGGGAAGAGGUUCUUAUAAAUAAAUAUGUUGAAGGGAAAUGCAUUCUCACAUCAAGCGUAAUGUUUGAGAUUACCAUUUUUGGCCUAGCAUUUUGAAAGUUAAAGAUCUAUUUAAUCAACAUUGUAAAAAGGUGAUUAGACAUGAGGAAAUACAAGAUCCUUGGAAAGAUUGCUGGGUGGGGGAUAAACCUCUGAAACUCUCAAAUCCCAGGUUGCAUAAUCUAAGUAUGAUCAUAAUAUUUCUGUGACUGAGGUUAUUAAUAAAGCAUGGGAGCGAUUUACUUUUAGAAGAACUCUUGUGGGAAAAACCCUGGAGUUCUGGAACAAUUUGAAAUUAAGAUGUGAUGAUGUUAGAAAGUUAGGAGGAAAAGAUAAAAGCAAAUGGAUGCUCAUUGCUGAUAGAAAGUUCACUAUUAGACCUCUUUAUAAAUAUUGGAUUAAACAACUUGUGGUUUUCCUUAGAAAUUUCUACGGAAUAUCAAAGUCUGACUAUUUAAGUGUGAUUUUUUUGUAUUUCUUCACUCAAAUCACCAGGCACACAUACACAUGGAAGAUUGCUAAUGCAUUUUGUUAUAGUGAUUUUCUUGUUUCAUUGUAGCAGGCAAACUGCAUUGCUGAUAUUACCCCAAACAAAAUACUUUUGGUGGAUCAACUAGGUGUUGAAUCUGGAAAUCAGGCCGUACCCUUGUGUGUCACAUGCUUGUGCCUGAUGCUACAGGAGAUGAGACAUCGGCUGGGAUAAAGAAGCUGUGUUUGGCUGGCUGAGAGGGUCGAUGAGCUACAAAGUCAGUUGUUGAAUUGCUACCUACCUCAAAUAUGAGGUCAUAUAUCUUCUUCUAAAUGCAUGAUUUCCUUGUAUGGAUACAGUAGAGAACACUGCAGAUUCAUAGG
Molecule: long non-coding RNA, 1324 nt
Organism: Triticum aestivum (bread wheat)
Lineage: Eukaryota; Viridiplantae; Streptophyta; Magnoliopsida; Poales; Poaceae
Exons: 3
Source: RefSeq, a predicted model, not a curated record